CCCAUAGCCUUGUUAGGAACAGGAGGAGAACCUCAUUCUAACAUGAGCAAAGUCGAAGGCCCGAUUAUUUAGAGACUGAAUGGAGGGAGAGGCUCUUGCAACGGCCCUUACGUGCCCCCACAGUCUUGUUAGGAACAAGAGGAGAAUCUCGUCCUAACAUGAGCAAAGUCGAAGGCCCGAUUAUUUAGAGACCAAAUGGGGGGAGAGGCCCUUGCAACGACUCUUACGUGCCCCCACAGUCCCGUUAGGAAUAGGAGAAAAAUCUCAUCCUAGCAUGAGCUGAAAUUGACUGUGUCAGGAACAGGAGGAGAGCCUCAUCCUGACACAAAUGAAGACCUGAUCGUUCAAGACCGGAUGAGGAGAAAAGCCUCCUCAAUGGCUCCUCUACAUCCCUACAACCCCGCUGAGAGCAGAGGAAAAACCCUCACCCAAAUAUAUAAAAAAAAAGGGGAGAUAAAAAGGGAAAGCGACAAACUACGUUAGUGAUAAGGGAAAAACAAACUAC
This 505-nucleotide long non-coding RNA is filed under the name Elaeis guineensis (African oil palm). Its description in RNAcentral is "long non-coding RNA (EGUI_LNC053018)". The record is from RNAcentral. Lineage: Eukaryota; Viridiplantae; Streptophyta; Magnoliopsida; Arecales; Arecaceae.